UGGGGGAUAUUGCACAAUGGAGGAAACUCUGAUGCAGCAACGCCGCGUGAGGGAAGAAGGUCUUCGGAUUGUAAACCUUAGUAGUCAGGGACGAAAGAAAUGACGGUACCUGAAAAGUAAGCUCCGGCUAACUACGUGCCAGCAGCCGCGGUAAUACGUAGGGAGCGAGCGUUGUCCGGAUUUACUGGGUGUAAAGGGUGCGUAGGCGGGACUGCAAGUCAGGCGUGAAAUACCGAGGCUUAACCUCGGGGCUGCGUUUGAAACUGCGGUUCUUGAGUGAAGUAGAGGCAGGCGGAAUUCCUAGUGUAGCGGUGAAAUGCGUAGAUAUUAGGAGGAACACCAGUGGCGAAGGCGGCCUGCUGGGCUUUAACUGACGCUGAAGCAC
Molecule: ribosomal RNA, 385 nt
Filed under: uncultured bacterium
Lineage: Bacteria
Description: bacterial SSU rRNA
Rfam family: Bacterial small subunit ribosomal RNA
Source: RNAcentral